UCUCCCUUCUCCCUCACGCACUGCCCUCUCCGGCGAUUCCUCUCCCGGCGACGUCGAGCCACCGCACAGUGGGCAUUCCGAUCGCGUUGACGCAUCUCAGCCCAACGCCGGCCGAGUCUCCUUUCUUCCUCCUUCUCCCUCUCGAUGCAUGGAGUGUUUCUCCUCUUCCUCUCUCGCCCGCGGACGACUCGACGCCGACGGCUUCCCCAGCGAUCUCGGCUUCGUCGCGUCACCAGGGGGAAAGCGUCACCCGAUCUUGAUGGCUCCGACCAUCUCCGACGCAGCGAUCUCCUCUUUGGCUGUGCUGGCACACGAGGCAAUGACUCGGCGGAGCUAGGGCAUGGCGGGGAGAGGUUGAUUCGUGUCUUUUCCAGCCGAUCGAGCUUCUUUUGCUCUCCUCUUCGAUCUACUUGCUGGGGGUGAACUGGAUCAUCAUCAGUGGAAGUGGAUCGCACGACACCAGCUGUAGGGAUUGAUUGAGGAGGAUGCUUCGGAUAAACCUAGUGAUGGAUCUUCCUUGAGUAGAACUUCAUCUCCUUCAUUCUUGCGGCUGCUAGGGGCUUGGGGUGAAGAGGUGGAGAGCUAUGAAGCUUCUCAGCAGGGAGUUGUAGGGUUGCUGAGCUACUGGAGUUGCUGCCAUGGUUCAAGG
Zingiber officinale is the source of this 649-nucleotide long non-coding RNA. RefSeq lists it as uncharacterized. NCBI's taxonomy places the organism in Eukaryota, Viridiplantae, Streptophyta, Magnoliopsida, Zingiberales, Zingiberaceae. The record is from RefSeq and is a predicted model, not a curated record. The transcript is spliced from 3 exons.